GCUUACGGCCAUACCAGCCUGGGUACGCCCCGGAUCCCGUCUAGAUGUCGGAAGCUAAGCAGGGUCGGGCCUGGUUAGUACUUGGAUGGGAGACCGCCUGGGAAUACCAGGUGCUGUAAGCA
Molecule: ribosomal RNA, 122 nt
Filed under: Salmo salar (Atlantic salmon)
Lineage: Eukaryota; Metazoa; Chordata; Actinopteri; Salmoniformes; Salmonidae
Source: RNAcentral